Non-coding RNA from Callithrix jacchus (white-tufted-ear marmoset), 1683 nucleotides. The record is from RefSeq and is a predicted model, not a curated record. Lineage: Eukaryota; Metazoa; Chordata; Mammalia; Primates; Cebidae.
AUGUCGGUUGUGGCCGUCUCCAGCCAGCCGCCCGGCGGGGCGGGAGCGAGGAGGGCGGAAAAGCCCGGGAGAGUCAGCGCCCGGGAGCCGCCGGUGAAGCGCCUGCGGAACUGGGCGCCGAGGGCGGCGGCGCGUCCCCGGGCAUCCUGCGGCUCGGGAUCCUCCGAAGACCGAGGCGCGGGCCCCUCCUGCAGUCCUGGGGACGACGAAACUCGGCCCCGACGUCCCGGCCUCCGAACGGCCUGCGGAGUCUCCCGCCGGCGCGCACUUCCAGCCGCAACCCCGCCCCGCAGCCCCAGGUCAGCUCCGCCGAGUAGGAAGCGCUCAGCUCUUCUUUUGUGUCAGGAGCACCCACGACGCCCCGGCCAUGCGAGCGGGGGCAGAGACGAGGGUCGUCGCUCCGUCCGCUACCCCGUCCCCCAGCACUGGGCGCUGAGCAGCCGGGAGGGGCGGAAAGGGCAGCAGGCUCCUUACUGACACCGGCGAGGGGAGGUCAGCUCGUCGCGGGGCGUGGCUCCCGUCCGGGGACCCCCGAGCUCAUCACGGGUGGCCGAGUGUAGCCAAGUUCAAGCUCUCCCUCCGGGAAUGCCUGCUGCGGCGGCGGAGCGCGGCUGCUUCAGGACUUUCAGCCAAGCCGGGAGGCGGGGACCUGCGGGCAGAGGAGCGACGCCCCAGCUGGGAACGCGGCGGGAGGGGGUGUGCCCUGGGCGCGCCAGGCCGCGGAGGCUCCGGGGAAAGUUCUCUUAGCUGCGCGAGGGGUGGCGCCCAGGGCGGAAGCAGCCCAGGUGCAUCUGGGCCCGGCCCAGGCGUCUGGAAAAGGCCCCGGAAAGAAGGGUUCCCCCCAGCCCAAGGAUGGCCGCGCAGGGGAGCCCCGGUCUGGGCGGGGUAUCAACUGGGGGGCGGAGGGCGGGACGGAGGUGGUCCCAGCCGCGAAGUGCGGCGGGUCCGCGCUCCCAAGCCGCGCGCUGCGCCGGAGCCGCUGGGCCGUCCUGUGCUCGUUGCGUCCGUUUCCCUGGGAGACCUGGAAGCUGGCUGGGGAGAGGAGGACGCGGUGCUGCUCGGACCCCACCGUACGGCGUUCCCAGUCCCACGCCCUCCGCGCGGUCGGCGGCAUGCAGGACUGAGGGGCACAAUAGCUCUGAAGCUGCAGUGACCCCUGGUGGGUCCUGAUGUCCGUACACAGACAGCCGAGGCUGAGCUGCGGAAGAGGCUGAGCCCCGCUGGGCUUCGGAGCAGGUGCAAUCAGUGCUCUCCAGCUGGGAACCAGCAGCGAGUUAAUGCGAGUCACAGUUGGGGGAGACACGAGGGGAGAUCUCCCAGAAAAAAAAAACUCUAUAUUGAGUUUAAGAGUUAGAGCUUUGGCAUCAGACGUAGUUUUGAGUUGACUAUUCUAUUACUUGUUAGCUGCGUAGCCAAAGCUCAAAAACUUGCUUAUAACCUCGGACGUUAGCGCUUAAAACAAAACUAGGCUUCCGUAGCACAGAAGAAAUUAAAUGAACAAUUGGCAACUUUGACGGAGUUUCCUCUCAUAGUGAUUUGCCACAAAGGACCUUCUGUAGGAAGCCUCGGCCUUCCCUGCUAUUGUGAUCCCAUCCGAACCAUGGAUCAGCACAGCCACCGAAGUGCAGUAUAAAGUUCUGAACUUUACCUAGGCUAUGAAUAAAACUCUAUUUUAUCUUCUGA